CAGCCGCCGCGGUAAUACGGAGGAUCCAAGCGUUAUCCGGAUUUAUUGGGUUUAAAGGGUGCGUAGGUGGCCUGUUAAGUCAGGGGUGAAAGACGGUAGCUUAACUAUCGCAGUGCCCUUGAUACUGAUGGGCUUGAAUGAACUAGAGGUAGGCGGAAUGUGACAAGUAGCGGUGAAAUGCAUAGAUAUGUCACAGAACACCAAUUGCGAAGGCAGCUUACUAUGGUUUUAUUGACACUGAGGCGCGAAAGCGUGGGGAUCAAACAGGAUUAGAUACCCCAGUAGUCCCUGUCUCUUAUAC
RNAcentral lists this ribosomal RNA (301 nucleotides) under uncultured bacterium. RNAcentral describes it as "partial 16S ribosomal RNA". It matches the Rfam family "Bacterial small subunit ribosomal RNA", at positions 509 to 807 of the family's 1533-position model. The record is from RNAcentral.